This 432-nucleotide ribosomal RNA is filed under the name uncultured bacterium. RNAcentral describes it as "partial 16S ribosomal RNA". It matches the Rfam family "Bacterial small subunit ribosomal RNA", at positions 29 to 506 of the family's 1533-position model. The record is from RNAcentral.
AGCGAACGCUGGCGGCAGGCCUAACACAUGCAAGUCGAACGAACUCUUCGGAGUUAGUGGCGGACGGGUGAGUAACACGUGGGAACGUGCCUUUUGGUUCGGAAUAACUCAGGGAAACUUGUGCUAAUACCGAAUGUGCCCUUCGGGGGAAAGAUUUAUCGCCAUUAGAGCGGCCCGCGUCUGAUUAGCUAGUUGGUGAGGUAACGGCUCACCAAGGCGACGAUCAGUAGCUGGUCUGAGAGGAUGACCAGCCACACUGGGACUGAGACACGGCCCAGACUCCUACGGGAGGCAGCAGUGGGGAAUCUUGCGCAAUGGGCGAAAGCCUGACGCAGCCAUGCCGCGUGAAUGAUGAAGGUCUUAGGAUGGUAAAAUUCUUUCACCGGGGACGAUAAUGACGGGACCCGGAGAAGAAGCCCCGGCUAACUUCGU